Molecule: long non-coding RNA, 4730 nt
Filed under: Gossypium raimondii (Peruvian cotton)
Lineage: Eukaryota; Viridiplantae; Streptophyta; Magnoliopsida; Malvales; Malvaceae
Description: long non-coding RNA (GRAI_LNC010220)
Source: RNAcentral
CCAAGGUGACCAUGCAAGGUGGCCAUGCAGGGAUCGUGCUUUAACAGCAAACCGAAACUGCAUUGUUUCAUUUGGUUACUCAAAUGAACAUUUUGUAUUUUAGUUUGUUUUGAACUAAGUUGGUAACUGUAUUUUGAUGUAAUUAGGUGCUGAAUGACAAGUUUAGGUAGAAGUUUAUGUUUUCAAUCAAGUUUACCAAGUUACUAGGCAAUUUAGUGGUGUUAGGUAUGUUAUUAGGUGGCAACUUGUUUGUUUUGCUGUUGUUAUCUCAUAUAUGUAUUGGUAUUAUGGCUUGUAAAAAUGUUAAUGAAAAUUCAGCUCAUUUUCAUUCAAUUUCAUCUCUUUCUUUUCUGUUCUCCAUUGCAAAAUUUCUUUCUUCUUCUUCAAUAGUUUAUUCAGCAAGGCUCGACACUUGCUGUGCAAGCAAGCUGAAACCAUCUUGCUAUUACCUCUUGCACCAACAAUUGGUAUCUAGAGCCGUUGUCUUAGUGGACCUGUUGCUUCAAACCAAGGAACCUGAUGGCUUCUUCAGGAUUUUCACCAGCAGCCCCACCAGUCUUCAAUGGAGAAAGCUUUCACAUAUGGCUGGUAAAGAUGAAGACUUACCUGCAGGCCUUUGAUCUGUGGGAAGUUGUUAACACAGAUGCUGAGCCAGCACCACUGAGGGCUAAUCCCACAGUAGCUCAGAUCAGACAACAUGCUGAUGAGAGGACCAAAAGGCACAAAGCCAUGUCCUGCAUUCAGAACUGUGUAUCAGAUGUCAUCUUUACCAAAAUUAUGGCCUGUGAGACUCCAAAACAGGCCUGGGACAAGCUUAAGGAGGAGUUUCAAGGCACUGAGAGGACAAGGCAACAACAGCUGUUGAAUUUGAGAAGGGAUUUCGAGAAUCUGAAGAUGUAGGAAGAAGAAACAGUGAAGCAGUAUUCAGAUAGAAUUAUGGCAGUGGUUAACAGUAUAAGGCUCCUAGGUGAGCACUUUGAUGAGGCAAGAAUUGUGGAGAAAGUCCUCUCCACUUUGCCUGAGAAAUAUGAAGCAAAGAUAUCCUCCCUAGAGGACUCAAGAGACCUUGCUAGCAUCUCUUUGACUGAGUUAAUCAACACCUUCUAUGCUCAGGAACAAAAGAGAGCUAGCAGAGCUGAAGAUCACCAAGAAGGUGCAUUUCAAGCCAAGGCCAGAGAAGCCUCGAGCACCAAUGCUCAAAGAGGCAAAAAGCCUUGGAAAAGCAGGCCUAAGCCUGAUGCUGCAAGGAGCAAUGACCAGCCCUGCAGAUAUUGCAAGAAGCUAGGCCAUCCAGAAGACAGAUGUUGGUUCAGGCCAGAAGCAGUAUGCCAGCACUGCAAGAAGAAGGGCCAUGUUGAAAGGGUUUGCAAAAAUAGAACCAAGCCAAGGCAGAGCCAAUUUCAACAACCAAAGGUUGAAGCUCGAGUAGCUGAGGACAGUAGUGACCAAGAGGAGCAGGUCUUUGCUGUUUCUUGCUUAACUGCUGAGAAGAAAUCUUCAAAAGGUUGGCUAUUGGACAGUGGUUGCACUAACCACAUGUCACCAGAUGCCUCCUUGUUUAAAACCUUGGAUAGAAGUUGCAAAACCAAGGUCAAGGUUGGAAAUGGCCAGUUUAUAAAGGCUGAAGGAAGAGGAGAGGUGCUGAUAUGUACUCCUACAGGUAACAAGGUCAUACCAAAUGUGCUUUUGGUGCCUGAGAUUGACAGAAACCUUCUCAGCAUAGCCCAAUUGCUUGAGAAAGGUUAUUCUGUUGUAUUCAAGGAUAAACAGUGCCACAUUGCAGAUCCAAGUGGAUCAAGCCUUAUGACAGUCACAAUGACUGAUAAAUGCUUUAAGGUUCAUUGGUCAAAUGACUCAAAGUCAGCAUAUACAGCCUCUAUAGAUGACUCCAAACUCUGGCAUAGAAGGCUUGGACAUGCCAACUUCAGGUCAAUGGGUCGAAUGGCCAGUGAGGGCUUGGCUGAGAACUUCACCAACUCAGUGGAGUAUGAUGAUGUGUGUGAGGUCUGCCAGAUGGGGAAACAGGCAAGAUUGCCAUUUUCUACAAAUGCAGCAUGGAGAGCUACUGAAAGACUGCAGCUGGUGCACUCUGAUGUAUGUGGCCCGAUGAGGACUGAAUCACUCAGCAAAAACAGGUAUUUCAUCCUCUUCAUUGAUGAUUUUACAAGGUUUUGCUGGAUUUUCUUCUUAAAACAUAAGUCUGAGGUAGCUCAAGUGUUUGUGAAGUUUAAAACUACUGUAGAAACAGAAACAGGUUGCAAGCUGAAAUCGAUAAGGUCAGACAAUGGCACUGAGUACACUUCAGCUCAGUUUCAAGCCAUUUGCAAGGAUGCUGGCAUCAAACACCAGCUUACAAAUGUCUACACACCUCAGCAGAAUGGGGUAUCUGAAAGAAAGAACAGAAGUCUGAUGGACAUGGCCAGGUGCCUGUUGUUUGAGAAGAAACUGCCCAAAGCCAUGUGGGCUGAGGCAGUGAACACUGCUGUUUACCUACAGAACAGACUUCCAACCAAAGCUCUUACUCACAAGACACCUUUUGAGGCAUGGUUUGGUUUCAAACCUUCAUUGGCUCAUCUAAAGGUGUUUGGUUGCUUGUGUUAUACACAGAUACCAACAGUAAAGAGGGAUAAGCUAUCAAAGAGAGCUCAGGCUGGCAUCCUAGUUGGCUAUAGCUUAGUCAAAAAAGGAUAUCGGAUCCUGGACCCCUUGACAAGUAAAAUUCAAGUGAGUAGGGAUGUGAUUUUUGAUGAAAAGGCAUGCUGGAAUUGGGAUAAGAAUUCACCAGAAGCUGAGGUAAAUGAAAUGGUGCCUAACCAAGCUGAACUUGAGCAACUUUGUCCUGAAGUGGACUUUGAUGAUGUGCCUGUAAGAGGCACAAGGCUCUUGGAUAAAAUUUAUGAAAGAGCACAGGUUGCCAAAGUUGAACCUACCUGUUUUGAAGAAGCUGAGACAGAUGAAGGUUGGAAGCAAGCAAUGGCAAAAGAGAUCAGCAUGAUUGAGAAGAAUCAGACUUGGGAACUGGUUGAAAAACCUGUCAACAGAAGGAUCAUUGGAGUAAAAUGGGUUUAUCGAGUCAAGCACAAUGCAGAUGGAAGCUUAAACAAACUGAAAGCUAGACUGGUUGUAAAAGGCUUCAGUCAAAAAUAUGGUUUGGACUACAUGGAAACAUUUGCUCCAGUAGCCAGACUUGAUACAAUCAGAUUGCUUGUGGCUCUUGCUGCUCAAAACCAGUGGUCAAUUCACCAGAUGGAUGUAAAGUCUACAUUUCUCAAUGGCUUUCUGGAAGAGGAGAUAUAUAUUGAACAACCUCCAGGUUUUGUAAUGCCUAGUAGAGAACACUUGGUAUACAGGCUCAAAAAGGCCUUGUAUGGCCUAAAACAGGCUCCUAGAGCCUGGUAUGCUCGAAUUGAUUCAUACCUGAUCAGCUUAGGAUUCGAAAGAAGUUCUAGUGAACCAACUCUUUAUGUUAAGAAGAAUCAAGCAGAAACACAGCUUAUUGUGUCUCUUUAUGUGGAUGAUCUCCUUGUGACAGGAGGAGACAAGACUAUGUUAGAAGAUUUCAAAGGAAAAAUGAAGGAGAUGUUCGAGAUGUCAGAUUUGGGGUUGAUGACUUAUUUCCUUGGAAUAGAGAUACAACAAGCUGAUCAAGGGAUCUUUUUGGGACAAAAGGCAUUUGCUUUGAAAGUUUUAUCCAAGUUUUCAAUGCAAAAUUGCAAGCCAACAUGCACACCUAUGGCAGUUGGCAUAAAACUGUCGAGCCAAGAAGAACAUGAGCCUGUCAAUGAAUCAUUUUAUAGGAGCCUUGUUGGUUGUUUUCUGUAUUUAACAGCAACAAGACCUGACAUUCUGUUUGCUGUGAGCAUGCUAUCAAGGUUCAUGCACUGCUGUAACCAGCAACAUUACAAGGCUGGGAAAAGGGUGCUAAGAUACAUCAAAGGUACCUUAAACCAUGGAAUAUAGUUUAGAAGGGCUGAAGAGUUGAAACUGAUUGGCUACACUGAUAGCGAUUGGGCUGGUUCAAAGGAUGACAUGAAGAGCACUUCUGGCUAUGCUUUUACACUUGGCUUAGCUAUAAUAUGUUGGAGCUCAAGAAAACAAACAAUGGUGGCUCAAUCAACAGCAGAAGCAGAGUAUGUAGCAGCUGCCAAUGCUGUUAAUCAAGCUAUGUGGCUGAGAAAAAUUUUGAGCGAUUUGAAUCUACAGCAGAAUGAAGCAACUGUGAUACAUUGUGACAACAAGUCAGCAGUUGCUAUUGCUAAAAAUCCUGUCUUCCAUGGCAGGACAAAACAUUUCAACAUUAAACUCCAUGUGAUAAGAGAAAUGGAACAAGCUCGAGAGAUCGAGCUAAUUCAUUGCAGCUCAGAAGGUCAGAUCGCCGAUAUCUUCACAAAAUCACUUGGUACAUCGAGAUUUCUAAACCUAAGGAAGCAGCUAGGAGUCUGCUGCAUAGAAGCUGAGGAGGAGUGUUGAAGUCAACCCCCAUGCAGCAGCCAAGGUGACCAUGCAAGGUGGCCAUGCAGGGAUCGUGCUUUAACAGCAAACCGAAACUGCAUUGUUUCAUUUGGUUACUCAAAUGAACAUUUUGUAUUUUAGUUUGUUUUGAACUAAGUUGGUAACUGUAUUUUGAUGUAAUUAGGUGCUGAAUGACAAGUUUAGGUAGAAGUUUAUGUUUUCAAUCAAGUUUACCAAGUUACUAGGCAAUUUAGUGGUGUUAGGUAUGUUAUUAGGUG